This 583-nucleotide ribosomal RNA is filed under the name uncultured bacterium. RNAcentral's name for it is "bacterial SSU rRNA". It matches the Rfam family "Bacterial small subunit ribosomal RNA", at positions 338 to 916 of the family's 1533-position model. The record is from RNAcentral.
CCUACGGGAGGCAGCAGUGGGGAAUUUUGGACAAUGGGCGCAAGCCUGAUCCAGCAAUGCCGCGUGAGUGAAGAAGGCCUUCGGGUUGUAAAGCUCUUUUGUCAGGGAAGAAACGGUGUUUUCUAAUACAGAGCGCUAAUGACGGUACCUGAAGAAUAAGCACCGGCUAACUACGUGCAAGCAGCCGCGGUAAUACGUAGGGUGCAAGCGUUAAUCGGAAUUACUGGGCGUAAAGCGUGCGCAGGCGGUUUUGAAGUUUGUCGUGAAAUCCCCGGGCUCAACCUGGGAAUGGCGAUGAAGACUGCAAGGCUAGAGUUUGGCAGAGGGGGGUAGAAUUCCACGUGUAGCAGUGAAAUGCGUAGAUAUGUGGAGGAACACCGAUGGCGAAGGCAGCCCCCUGGGUCAAAACUGACGCUCAUGCACGAAAGCGUGGGGAGCAAACAGGAUUAGAUACCCUGGUAGUCCACGCCCUAAACGAUGUCUACUAGUUGUCGGGUCUUAAUUGACUUGGUAACGCAGCUAACGCGUGAAGUAGACCGCCUGGGGAUACGGUCGCAAGAUUAAAACUCAAAGGAAUUGACGG